AGAGGACGAUCUGACUGCAACAUCUGUCACCUCAUUGAUUGCCAGGGUUGACUGAGCUGAUCUGACUGGUUAGACAGAUGUCCCCUUCCUCCCUCGCCACUCCAUGUGCAUCUCUCCUGAUGCUUCUCAGUCAUAGAUGACCACCUUCUUGAAUAGAGAAGGACUGACCUCAGGUCAAGGGUAUAUGAGUAGCUGAGCUUCCCUCCUAGAAUUUCCAACUGAUUUCUUAAUCCAAAGUUACAAAGCCCACCUUCCUACAAAGAAAAGUAUAGACAGGCCUAUCACAGCAAUAUCCAACUUUUGUCUGUCUUAAGGUU
This 317-nucleotide small nuclear RNA is filed under the name Meriones unguiculatus (Mongolian gerbil). RNAcentral's name for it is "7SK RNA (ENSMUGG00000003739.1)". It matches the Rfam family "7SK RNA". From Rfam's summary of the family: 7SK was discovered as an abundant small nuclear RNA in the mid-70s but a possible function has only recently been suggested. The record is from RNAcentral. Lineage: Eukaryota; Metazoa; Chordata; Mammalia; Rodentia; Muridae.